Molecule: unclassified non-coding RNA, 147 nt
Organism: Macaca fascicularis (crab-eating macaque)
Lineage: Eukaryota; Metazoa; Chordata; Mammalia; Primates; Cercopithecidae
Rfam family: Metazoan signal recognition particle RNA
About the family: The signal recognition particle (SRP) is a universally conserved ribonucleoprotein. It is involved in the co-translational targeting of proteins to membranes.
Source: Ensembl
GCUGGGUGUGGUGGUGCAUGCCUGUAGUCCCAGCUACUUGGGAGGCUGAAGCAGGAGGAUCACUUGAGCCUAGGAGGUCAGGAUGCAGUGAGCCAUGAUUGUGCCACUGCACUCCAGCCUGGGCGACAGAGUGAGACCCUGUAUUUA